RNAcentral lists this ribosomal RNA (1418 nucleotides) under Shewanella putrefaciens. RNAcentral's name for it is "16S ribosomal RNA". It matches the Rfam family "Bacterial small subunit ribosomal RNA". Lineage: Bacteria; Pseudomonadati; Pseudomonadota; Gammaproteobacteria; Alteromonadales; Shewanellaceae. The record is from RNAcentral.
CAUGCAAGUCGAGCGGCAGCACAAGGGAGUUUACUUCUGAGGUGGCGAGCGGCGGACGGGUGAGUAAUGCCUAGGGAUCUGCCCAGUCGAGGGGGAUAACAGUUGGAAACGACUGCUAAUACCGCAUACGCCCUACGGGGGAAAGGAGGGGACCUUCGGGCCUUCCGCGAUUGGAUGAACCUAGGUGGGAUUAGCUAGUUGGUGAGGUAAUGGCUCACCAAGGCGACGAUCCCUAGCUGUUCUGAGAGGAUGAUCAGCCACACUGGGACUGAGACACGGCCCAGACUCCUACGGGAGGCAGCAGUGGGUAUUUAUUUGCACAUCGAGGGGAAUCCUUGAUGCAGCCAUGCCGCGUGUGUGAAGAAGGCCUUCGGGUUGUAAAGCACUUUCAGUAGGGAGGAAAAGGGUGAUGUCUUAAUACGCUUCAUUUUGUGACGUUACCUACAGAAGAAGGACCGGGCUAACUCCGUGCCAGCAGCCGCGGUAAUACGGAGGGUCCGAGCGUUAAUCGGAAUUACUGGGCGUAAAGCGUGCGCAGGCGGUUUGUUAAGCGAGAUGUGAAAGCCCUGGGCUCAACCUAGGAAUAGCAUUUCGAACUGGCGAACUAGAGUCUUGUAGAGGGGGGUAGAAUUCCAGGUGUAGCGGUGAAAUGCGUAGAGAUCUGGAGGAAUACCGGUGGCGAAGGCGGCCCCCUGGACAAAGACUGACGCUCAUGCACGAAAGCGUGGGGAGCAAACAGGGAGUAGAUACCCUGGUAGUCCACGCCGUAAACGAUGUCUACUCGGAGUUUGGUGUCUUGAACACUGGGCUCUCACGCUAACACAAUUAAGUAUACCGCCUGGGGAGUACGGCCGCAAGGUUAAAACUCAAAUUAAUUUAACGGGGGCCCGCACCAGCGGUGGAGCAUGUGGUUUAAUUCGAUGCAACGCGAAGAACCUUACCUACUCUUGACAUCCACAGAACUUUCCAGAGAUGGAUUGGUGCCUUCGGGAACUGUGAGACAGGUGCUGCAUGGCUGUCGUCAGCUCGUGUUGUGCAAUGUAAGGGUGUAGUCUCGCACCGAGCGGCGACCCCUAUCCUUAUUUGCCAGCACGUAAUGGUGGGGACGUCCUCAGGAGACUUGCCCAGUGACUACCCGCACGAAGAUAGGGGAGCGAAGGUCAAGUCAUCAUGGCCCUUACGAGUAGGCCUAUCUACACGUGCUACAAUGGCGAGUACAGAGGGUUGCAAAGCCGCGAGGUGGAGCUAAUCUCACAAAGCUCGUCGUAGUCCGGAUUGGAGUCUGCAACUCGACUCCAUGAAGUCGGAAUCGCUAGUAAUCGUGGAUCAGAAUGCCACGGUGAAUACGUUCCCGGGCCUUGUACACACCGCCCGUCACACCAUGGGAGUGGGCUGCAAAAGAAGUGGGUAGUUUAACC